AGAGUUUGAUCCUGGCUCAGAUUGAACGCUGGCGGCAGGCUUAACACAUGCAAGUCGAGCGGUAGCACAGGGGAGCUUGCUCCCUGGGUGACGAGCGGCGGACGGGUGAGUAAUGUCUGGGAGACUGCCUGAUGGAGGGGGAUAACUACUGUAAACGGUAGCUAAUACCGCAUAACGUCGCAAGACCAAAGAGGGGGACCUUCGGGCCUCUUGCCAUCAGAUGUGCCCAGAUGGGAUUAGCUAGUAGGUGGGGUAAUGGCUCACCUAGGCGACGAUCCCUAGCUGGUCUGAGAGGAUGACCAGCCACACUGGAACUGAGACACGGUCCAGACUCCUACGGGAGGCAGCAGUGGGGAAUAUUGCACAAUGGGCGCAAGCCUGAUGCAGCCAUGCCGCGUGUGUGAAGAAGGCCUUCGGGUUGUAAAGCACUUUCAGCGAGGAGGAAGGUGGUGAGCUUAAUACGUUCAUCAAUUGACGUUACUCGCAGAAGAAGCACCGGCUAACUCCGUGCCUGCAGCCGCGGUAAUACGGAGGGUGCAAGCGUUAAUCGGAAUUACUGGGCGUAAAGCGCACGCAGGCGGUUUGUUAAGUCAGAUGUGAAAUCCCCGGGCUCAACCUGGGAACUGCAUUUGAAACUGGCAAGCUAGAGUCUCGUAGAGGGGGGUAGAAUUCCAGGUGUAGCGGUGAAAUGCGUAGAGAU
This 700-nucleotide ribosomal RNA is filed under the name uncultured bacterium. RNAcentral's name for it is "bacterial SSU rRNA". It matches the Rfam family "Bacterial small subunit ribosomal RNA", at positions 8 to 697 of the family's 1533-position model. The record is from RNAcentral.